Molecule: ribosomal RNA, 494 nt
Filed under: uncultured bacterium
Lineage: Bacteria
Description: bacterial SSU rRNA
Rfam family: Bacterial small subunit ribosomal RNA
Source: RNAcentral
GACGAACGCUGGCGGCGUGCCUAACACAUGCAAGUCGAACGGAGCCUAUUGAAUGAAGCCUUCGGGUAGAUUUCGAGAAAGCUUAGUGGCGGACGGGUGAGUAACGCGUGAGUAACCUGCCUCUCAGAGUGGAAUAACAUUUGGAAACGAAUGGUAAUACCGCAUAACGUCACGGAACCGCAUGAUUCUGUGACCAAAGGAGCAAUCCGCUGAGAGAUGGACUCGCGUCCGAUUAGCUAGUUGGAGAGGUAACGGCGUCCCCAAGGCGACGAUCAGUAGCCGGACUGAGAGGUUGAACGGCCACAUUGGGACUGAGACACGGCCCAGACUCCUACGGGAGGCAGCAGUGGGGGAUAUUGGACAAUGGGGGCGAACCCUGAUCCAGCGAUGCCGCGUGAGGGAAGAAGGUUUUCGGAUUGUAAACCUCUGUUGACAGGGACGAUAAUGACGGUACCUAAUGAAUAAGCUCCGGCUAACUACGUGCCAGCAGCCGC